GGAUGAACUCUAAGUAUAUAUGUUAGAGUUCGAAUAAAGUUGAUAUCAUUUGACUAAAUUCUAAGUAUAUGGCUUAGAACUCUGUCGAUUUGGAGAUAUUUCGCCUUAGUUAUAUGUGCUAAGGCGAUUGACUUAGCCCUAAGUAUAUGUAUUAGGGGUAGUCGAUAUUUAAUUUUCACUCUAGGUAUAUGUACCAGAGUAAAAAAAGGGUUCACGAUGAGAUUUGGGUAUUGGUUCAUGGGAUUUGAGUAUUGGUUCAUGAGAUUUGGUUUAUGAAUUUGGAUAUGGUUCAUGAAUUUGGUGUAUGG
RNAcentral lists this long non-coding RNA (308 nucleotides) under Ananas comosus (pineapple). Its description in RNAcentral is "long non-coding RNA (ACOM_LNC038438)". The record is from RNAcentral. Lineage: Eukaryota; Viridiplantae; Streptophyta; Magnoliopsida; Poales; Bromeliaceae.